AACGCGCCGCCGCGCGCCCGGCCCGGUUACCAGGGGGCGAAGAACAUGACGAAGUGCGGGGCGCUCUGGGCGGCGUGGCGCAGCAUCUCGGCGUUGUAACGGUGCCGCACGUGCGGAUCCGGCUCCGGCUCGGGCUCCGGCUCCAGCUCCGCAUCGCCCCGCGCCGGGGCCGCGCACAGGAGGCCUCCGAGCAGCAGCAGCAGCAGCCGCGCCGGGCCGGGCCGGGGGGAGGUGCCGCGGCACAGAGCAGCGGCCAUGGCGGAGCGCGAGAGACAGAGAGAAGCCGGGCCACGUCCGCCGACCGCCUCUCUCCGUGCCGGCGCCAGCCCCCGCCCCCUGCCCGGCGUCUUCCGGCCCCGCCUCCCCGGGGUCAAAGGGCACCGGGAGGGGGAACUCAGAGCACGAGAGAGUCGCCCCUGUUACCCAUCCUCCACUCACUCUCCACCACCGCCUGUAGCCGCCUCCCCCACCUUCUCUCUAUGCACUUCCCAGACACCCUCCCUACCCAUACCUGUGACCUACCUCAGCCCCGAGCUCGUUCUGCCUCACUGCACCCUCGCUCCUGCCCCUCGCUGUGUCUACACCCUCCCCAGCCCACCCCGCACCCGCUGCUGCUGCCCACCCACGUCCCCCCUACUCCUUCCUUACGCCCUUCCCUCUCACACUGCAAACUCCCUGUCAGGGCCAUGGACCAGUCAGGCCAUAAAUCUGGUGGGGUUGAAGCGGAUGUGCGUUCCGGGUGAUCACUUUUGGAAUCAUCUAACAAACCUUUUACAUGAGCAAAUAAGAUGACGCAAAGACACCCAUCUGUCCACACACACACACUGCACCAGGAGUGUAAAUCUAGAAAUUCUGCUAAAUCACAUAACUUUAAAAAAAGUUUCUUUGCAGAAAUCCAUGAAGAAAAGGUACAUAGACCCUUAGCACAUCCUGAGUUAACAAUGUGAACGAAGACAAGUAACAGAUGCCUAAUUGAAUUUCAAUCAUUAGAUGAUAUUUGUACCAGAUCAGCCAUGACAUCUCAAAGAACUGCUGUUACUAUAUGGAGUGUGAAGACUGGCUUCUUCUCUUGAAGUGUGAGAUUUGGGGUAGAAGACUGGCAACUGAAUAUCCUGGUUGAUGUGGAAGUCCAGUAAAAUCUUGUUUGUUUAGGACCUUGAGAUGCAAUGGUGUUGGGGGAGAAGCAUAUGGCAGAGUUCAAGGCCAACUGGUAAGGAAGGUGUCCCCUAAUGAUUUGUGGUUGUGUCCUCCCAUCAAGCAAAAUCACUGGUAUUUCAUGUUGGAUGGUGUCGCAAAUAAAUCUAUCUUUGGGAUGUCCCAGGUGAGAAUCUUCUGUAGGAUAAGAUCACUCAACUCCCAUUCGAGGUGCUGGAGAAAUGUUUGCUAUGGUGUUUUGCUGACCAGGUAGAUAUGCCACUGAGAUGUCAAUUUGGUGCAUUAUGCCCCAGUUCCAAAGUUUUAUUGCCUCUGUGCACAAGGACCUUACACCUCUUGGUGGUUUAUUUAGUACAUGGUUUCUCUGUUUAUCUCUUGACUCUGACUAAGUAACCCUGAAUCGUGGGUAGAAAGUGGUCACAUAUGUACUGAACUGCUCUGAGCUCAAGUAGAUUGAUGUGAGGAGCAGACACCUCAAGGGUCCAUCUGCCUUGUGCUAUGAGGUCCUGGAGGUGAGCUCUCCAGUCUAGUAGGGAGACAUCUGUGGUGCUUAUCUUUGUGGGGAGUAUGAGAGAAUGGAACUCCCAGGCAAACCUUGUGGGGAUCCCUCUGUGAUGGGGCGUCAACCCCAGACGGGCAGAGAAGGGACUAACAGAGCCGUGGGAAGGCUGCUUGGGAAACAGCCAGACUGCGAGGAACAGCCAAUUAGGGCCCAGCAGGUCCAUAUAAAAGGGAGCUGCAGGGAAGAAUAGUUCAGUUGCUGCUGGGAGCCCAUGGAGUGAGGAUUGUAUCCCUGGAGGGCUGAGAGAACUGUAAGCGCCUUGGACCGAGCAGUGGCUGGUUCUUGGGACUGAGCAGCUGAGUGCCCUGAGCUGAGGGCAAAGAAGGUACUGAAGCUGUGGGGAAGUGGCCGAGGGAAAUAGAGCAGUAUUGACAGAGUUACAGAGGAGCAAUAGGAGGCUGCUAUUUACAGGAUCCUUGGGUUCGGGCCCAGAGUAGUGGAUGGGCCUGGGACCCCCUCACUCGCCACGAGGGAAGUGGCUGGACUGUUGGACAGAGAUACUCUCCCCAGGAAGUGGGGAACCACAGACAGUGACACGGCCGGAUGGCUCAGUCAAGACGAGGACCCUGCGGUUCUGGCUGAGAGAGGAGCUGUAGGCGGGAAAAGAGACAGAGUGCCAGUGUGCAGACCGCAGAUGUGGGCGUUGGCCUUGAGCUAAUCCCCAUCAUGACAAGGAGGAGGUGCCAGUCUGGCGAUGAGGACUGUACCCUGUGACACCCUCCACCAAUUGAGAGAGUUGAGAACUCUGAGCAUUGGGCACAGAGAGUGCAGACUGCCAUAAGAUGUUACAAGAGUACAGGCUGUCACAUGGCUCAAAAUCUGAAGUCAGGUCCUUCUAAUGGUUUGAGGAUUCUGCUGUAGCAUGGAGAGGAGGUUGGACAUCAUGACAAACCUGUCCCUGGGGAAGUAUGCCCUGGCAGUUGUGGAGUCCAAGGUGACCCCUAUGAAGUUGAUGUGUUGGACAGAUGUCAAAGAUUGCAUUGAACCAGAGUCCCACAGAGUGGAAAUGUGCUAGGGUCUUGUUGCUGCUGACUGUACCUCAUGGAGAGAACAACCCUUGAGGAGCCAGUCAUCGAGAUAGAGGAAGGUGACUUUUCCCAUUUGCCACAGAUGGGCCAUGACAACUGAGAUGACCUUUGUGAAGACUCCCACGUCAGUUGGGAGGCCAAAGGGAAGCACUUAGUACUGACAGCGGUCAUUGCUGAUGAUGAACUGGAGGCGGUGUCUGUGAGCUGGAUGUAUUGCUACCUGAAAAUAUGCAUCCUGAAAGUCAAGGCUCACAAACCAGCCUCCUGGAUCUAAUAAUGGUAUUAUUGCGGCGAGGGUUACCAUAUUGAACGUCCACGUUUGGAUGAAUGUGUUCAGUCUUGGUCUCCAUCCUCCUUUUUGCUUGCAUACCAGGAAGUAGCUGGAGUAGAACCCUUUUCCGAUGAAAGAAGGAGGAGCUGGUUGGAUCACCCCCAGGAGCAAGAGGGGAUGUGGAUGCCCAGAGAUCAAAGGGUCACUCUAGAAUCCUUUACUGUGUGAAGGAAUUAAUCUGUGGCAUUGCUGAAGAGCUUAAGUCUUCAAAGGCAAGAUCCUCUACUGUAUUCUGGAUUUCCCUGCAAAGUCCAAAGGAGAAUAGCCAUGAAGCAUAGUGAAUAACUAUAGUGGAUGCCACAGAAAGAAAUUAGUUUUUGGCCUCAUCCAAAGAGGCUCGCAAAGAGGCUUUGGCAGUCAUCUGACAUUCAGUGAUGAGAGCCUGAAACUGGUCCUUCUGGUCUUGUGGUAAAUAAGCAAUAAAAUGAGAGAACU
Molecule: long non-coding RNA, 3511 nt
Organism: Chelonia mydas (Green sea turtle)
Lineage: Eukaryota; Metazoa; Chordata; Testudines; Cheloniidae
Exons: 5
Source: RefSeq, a predicted model, not a curated record